RNAcentral lists this ribosomal RNA (468 nucleotides) under uncultured bacterium. RNAcentral's name for it is "partial 16S ribosomal RNA". It matches the Rfam family "Bacterial small subunit ribosomal RNA", at positions 28 to 507 of the family's 1533-position model. The record is from RNAcentral.
GACGAACGCUGGCGGCGUGCUUAACGCAUGCAAGUCGAACGGAAAGGCCCUGCUUUUGUGGGGUGCUCGAGUGGCGAACGGGUGAGUAACACGUGAGUAACCUGCCCUUGACUUCGGGAUAACUUCAGGAAACUGGGGCUAAUACCGGAUAGGAGCUCCUGCUGCAUGGUGGGGGUUGGAAAGUUUCGGCGGUUGGGGAUGGACUCGCGGCUUAUCAGCUUGUUGGUGGGGUAGUGGCUUACCAAGGCUUUGACGGGUAGCCGGCCUGAGAGGGUGACCGGCCACAUUGGGACUGAGAUACGGCCCAGACUCCUACGGGAGGCAGCAGUGGGGAAUAUUGCACAAUGGGCGGAAGCCUGAUGCAGCAACGCCGCGUGCGGGAUGACGGCCUUCGGGUUGUAAACCGCUUUCGCCUGUGACGAAGCGUGAGUGACGGUAAUGGGUAAAGAAGCACCGGCUAACUACGUG